ACAACUUUCAACAACGGAUCUCUUGGUUCUGGCAUCGAUGAAGAACGCAGCGAAAUGCGAUAAGUAGUGUGAAUUGCAGAAUUCAGUGAAUCAUUGAAUCUUUGAACGCACAUUGCGCCCCUUGGUAUUCCAUGGGGCAUGCCUGUUCGAGCGUCAUU
RNAcentral lists this ribosomal RNA (158 nucleotides) under Bhatiellae rosae. Its description in RNAcentral is "5.8S ribosomal RNA". It matches the Rfam family "5.8S ribosomal RNA". From Rfam's summary of the family: 5.8S ribosomal RNA (5.8S rRNA) is a component of the large subunit of the eukaryotic ribosome. It is transcribed by RNA polymerase I as part of the 45S precursor that also contains 18S and 28S rRNA. Lineage: Eukaryota; Fungi; Ascomycota; Dothideomycetes; Pleosporales; Phaeosphaeriaceae. The record is from RNAcentral.